GUAUCCAGGGUGCACCGCCCAUUCCCAGCUUUCAUCAACGAUUCCAGCAAAAGUUUUUCCAACCGGGCCCCCAUCACUUCCCUUCAGGUAUACCUCCCCGCAUGUAAAAUCGAGCGAGGCUCCUGGUCGAAAUCAAUUGCGACUGCUAAUAUCAUUUCUAGUUAUAUGCAAGUGUGAUGAAGGCCCAAAUUGAUAAAUUCCGCAAAUUAGCG
Molecule: long non-coding RNA, 212 nt
Organism: Lytechinus variegatus (green sea urchin)
Lineage: Eukaryota; Metazoa; Echinodermata; Echinoidea; Temnopleuroida; Toxopneustidae
Exons: 2
Source: RefSeq, a predicted model, not a curated record